CAGAGAGUGAGAGCUGAACACGCAGGAGCUGUACCAGAGCUUCAGCUACAGAGAUAAAAGCUGGCCGGACAAAACCCACAGCAGCGUGUCGAAACGCUACCAUCUUCUAGGAAAACAACAGGCACAACUUGAAAUCCGAGGGCUUCAGGCUGUCCUUCCCGUCCCACCCCCUCCCCGCCCAGGCGCAGCCCCGGGCUGCAGCUCGAGCUUGGAGCGGUGCGACCAGCGGAACGGCAGGGUGCCGGUUUCUAGCUGUGCUAAUGACUAAGGGACGGAGCUUGCUUUCUGGCAAUUUCCAGGCAGGGAGAGAGAGCUGCGGCGCUCGUACCUCAGCGACAGAAAGAGCAGAAAGAAGUAAAAAGUGGGAAAAGUAGAGAGAAUGAUGAACAAUAUGUACAGGAAGAAAACUGAAGAGAAAAACAGACUGAGGAUGAGAUGCCUGAGGGAAAGGCAGAAGAAAAAAACAACAUGGGGCUGAAAUGUCUUCUAUCAUCCAAUGAAAGGAAAGGAUAAAACAUACAGUACACAGAGCAGCUUUAUAUGAUUAUAGCAACUUGAGUUCUGAAAGAAAGGAGGCUCAGAAGAGAUUUCCUUUCCUUCCCAGAUAGAGCUUUUGUGAAACAUUGUCCUAAACAAAUAAAAGAUUUUUUGCUCAAAUGA
This is a long non-coding RNA of Coturnix japonica (Japanese quail), 660 nucleotides long. RefSeq lists it as uncharacterized. NCBI's taxonomy places the organism in Eukaryota, Metazoa, Chordata, Aves, Galliformes, Phasianidae. The record is from RefSeq and is a predicted model, not a curated record.